CAGUAGCCGCGGUAAUACGAACCGUGCGAACGUUAUUCGGAAUCACUGGGCUUAAAGCGCGUGUAGGCGGAUGGGAGCGUCGGCCUCUGAAAUCCCCCGGCUCAACCGGGGAAGUGGAGCCGAAACGACCCGUCUGGAGGGACGUAGGGGGACCUGGAACUUCCGGUGGAGCGGUGAAAUGCGUUGAGAUCGGAAGGAACGCCCGUGGCGAAAGCGAGGUCCUGGACGUCUGCUGACGCUGAGACGCGAAAGCCAGGGGAGCGAACGGGAUUAGAUACCCCUGUAGUCCCUGUCUCUUAUU
Molecule: ribosomal RNA, 301 nt
Filed under: uncultured bacterium
Lineage: Bacteria
Description: partial 16S ribosomal RNA
Rfam family: Bacterial small subunit ribosomal RNA
Source: RNAcentral